GCCUUCAUGGUAUAGUGGUUUGCAUGCUGGACGAGUAUUCCAGAGGUCCUUGGUUCGAUUCCCGGUGAGGGCG
Molecule: transfer RNA, 73 nt
Filed under: Stegodyphus dumicola
Lineage: Eukaryota; Metazoa; Arthropoda; Arachnida; Araneae; Eresidae
Description: tRNA-Thr
Rfam family: tRNA
About the family: Transfer RNA (tRNA) molecules are approximately 80 nucleotides in length. Their secondary structure includes four short double-helical elements and three loops (D, anti-codon, and T loops).
Source: RNAcentral